Molecule: transfer-messenger RNA, 399 nt
Filed under: uncultured Prevotella sp.
Lineage: Bacteria; Pseudomonadati; Bacteroidota; Bacteroidia; Bacteroidales; Prevotellaceae
Rfam family: transfer-messenger RNA
About the family: Bacterial tmRNA, also known as 10Sa RNA or SsrA, is named for its dual tRNA and mRNA-like properties. Its role is to liberate the mRNA from a stalled ribosome.
Source: RNAcentral
GGGGUUGACUGGAUUUGACAGCGGGUCGAGAUGGUACGUAAGCACGCGGAGGCUUGUUGGUUCCCUCCAUAAUCUGAGUCGACGAAAAAUUAAUUGGCGAAAACAAUUACGCUCUCGCUGCUUAAUCGAAGUAUAGUAGAUUACUAGCUUAAUUUCCCUGCUAGGCGGGGAAACGAGACGUCGCUCCGAGGAUGUUGUUCCGAAUCCGAAGAUCCAGCGGCGCAGGUUAAAUCGGGAAUAGUCAUGUCAGGCCUCGAUGGCAUGAUGAAGAUUUAGAGGAUAAGGUUGCAGUUGGUGGCUUGGGUCUUGCUGCAGCACGAAAAUGAAGUCCAAGAUAAGCGUGUAGAAAGCGUAUGGUUUCCCUGUUUGGACGAGGGUUCAACUCCCUCCAGCUCCACU